AUGGCUAGUUCUAAAGUAAUGUGGGUGUUCUGCCUCCUAGCUUUACUGGCUUUCACUUCUUGUUCUUAUCAUGUACGAGCAGAAGAUCAUGCCACCAAGGAGAAAAAUGAGGUGAUGGAGUAUUGCAAGAGGUACAUAUUCAAAAAUUAUGGCGAUCAGUUUCCUGACCCCCACAGGAAAUGUUGCCAAACAGUAAGAGAAUCAAGACACAUCCAUGCUAUGUGCCAGAAAUUCACGCACGCGGAUUUGCAUAAGAUCAGUCUAGCCAAGUGGGCUCAUGUUACAUAUUGGUUUCAUCGUUCCAGAUUAUAG
This 312-nucleotide ribosomal RNA is filed under the name Triticum aestivum (bread wheat). RNAcentral describes it as "partial small subunit ribosomal RNA". Lineage: Eukaryota; Viridiplantae; Streptophyta; Magnoliopsida; Poales; Poaceae. The record is from RNAcentral.